UGGCCCGUGGCGGAGUGGUUAAACGCAUAUCCGUAUUAAGGAGACUGUCGCAGGUUCGAAUCCCGUCUGGUUGG
RNAcentral lists this transfer RNA (74 nucleotides) under Operophtera brumata (winter moth). It matches the Rfam family "tRNA". From Rfam's summary of the family: Transfer RNA (tRNA) molecules are approximately 80 nucleotides in length. Their secondary structure includes four short double-helical elements and three loops (D, anti-codon, and T loops). The record is from Rfam by way of RNAcentral. Lineage: Eukaryota; Metazoa; Arthropoda; Insecta; Lepidoptera; Geometridae.